GGGGCCGACUUGGCUUCGACGCGUAGCCUGCGACCCGGACGCUACAACCCGGCCGUUCCCUCGAAGUGGCCGCAAAAGAAAUCGAGGAACUUAUAGUUGGCAACCUUACCAACUUUGAGGACAAGACCGGCGCCAUCGCCGACGAGGCGAUGGACCGGCUCGCGGAGACCGACGAGGUCUUCGCGGACGAGUCUGCGCUUUGCGCGUAGGCUUGCGGGAGGCCUUGCGCCUCCCGCCCUCCAUCACGGCCUUGACGCCGAUAGAUAACCGCUGAGACUGCGGGUGCCGUGGUGUUACAAAUCGGCAGACCCUGUGGCCUCUCGCCCACCUGAGCCCCGACGUGAAACGAAAGGGGAAGCGAGGGUGCGCCUGUUCUGGCCGCUGUCACCUGCGGCGAAAGGGCAAAGACAAGUGGUGAUAAUGGUUGUAACAAAGGCCGAACGGUCAGCUAUGCGGACGCGGGUUCGAGUCCCGCCGGCUCCGCAA
Molecule: transfer-messenger RNA, 486 nt
Filed under: Salinibacter ruber
Lineage: Bacteria; Pseudomonadati; Rhodothermota; Rhodothermia; Rhodothermales; Salinibacteraceae
Rfam family: transfer-messenger RNA
About the family: Bacterial tmRNA, also known as 10Sa RNA or SsrA, is named for its dual tRNA and mRNA-like properties. Its role is to liberate the mRNA from a stalled ribosome. To accomplish this part of the tmRNA is used as a reading frame that ends in a translation stop signal.
Source: RNAcentral